Molecule: long non-coding RNA, 683 nt
Filed under: Sorghum bicolor (sorghum)
Lineage: Eukaryota; Viridiplantae; Streptophyta; Magnoliopsida; Poales; Poaceae
Description: long non-coding RNA (SBIC_LNC013992)
Source: RNAcentral
CGGUCUUCUCUCUAUGUAAAUCCGACAUGUGGACCUCAUUUUGUUAUUAUUCCGAUAACCCCCUGCGGAAACAGACAUUCACCAAAACUCGUGGAAAUUGUCAGUAAAUACCAUAAGUCUAUGGUGAUGUUCAGUCCCUUUCUUCUCCUUGGUUGACAUAAAAUUUUGAUGGUUAACAACCAUCAACAAACUCCCCCAAGCUUGCCUUUUGCUCGUCCUUGAGCAAAUAGCUACAAGAGAUAGAUGAAGAGUUGCUACAAUGCUUUCAUGCUUUAUAAGUACACAUGCUUCAAAUAAGAACUCAUCCCCAGACUACAGUGAACUAUCAUAACUUCCAAACUUACUCGUGUUUCUUCCAACCAUGGAGCUUUUACCUAUUCUUUGGUCUUGAGCAGUUGAAAGACAGAACAAUUAAGUCAAGCACUAUUGUCUCAUGCUUUGUUGUUCCACCUCUGUUCUGGAGUUUUUAUAAGAGUUUCAAAAAUAAAACUCAUAGUUCUUUAAUAUGACCUUUCAAGUCUAUCAAUAUGUGGUAUUUUUGGAUCCUCUCUAAGGCAUUGAAAGGAGUGAUGCCUUCUUUCUUGCUCUAAAAUAUUUAGUAUUUGUGGCACAAUGCAUUUAUAUAGCCUUUACUCUAUCUCACCCUAUAUCUAAUAAAGCAUAUAUGGAGCUCAUAGGUGUGG